Molecule: unclassified non-coding RNA, 300 nt
Filed under: Hevea brasiliensis (rubber tree)
Lineage: Eukaryota; Viridiplantae; Streptophyta; Magnoliopsida; Malpighiales; Euphorbiaceae
Source: RNAcentral
UAUUACUUCACCACUUUAUCCUUUAUUACUAUUAACUUGUUUUAACUUAUCUUUCCAGUUAUGUAAUAUUUCUUUUCAUCUUAUUAAAGCCAUCAGUUUUACAGGUCUCUCGCAAAAGCAUCUUAUCUCAACUGAGAUAUUCAAUAGCAACAUCUUCCUCCAAGCUUACACUUUCAUUAAACUCUAAUUGUGUUAAUUGUGUUAUGCUACUGGUUUCUCCAAAUGUGUAAAAUUUUCUCAAGAGAAAACUUAAUUUUAUAGGAUGAAGAAAUAGUUUUUUUAGGUUUUAUUAAUUAAUAG